RNAcentral lists this ribosomal RNA (422 nucleotides) under uncultured bacterium. Its description in RNAcentral is "partial 16S ribosomal RNA". It matches the Rfam family "Bacterial small subunit ribosomal RNA", at positions 360 to 774 of the family's 1533-position model. The record is from RNAcentral.
AAUAUUUGACAAUGGGGGAAACCCUGAUCCAGCCAUCUCGAGUGUAUGAUGAAGGNCUNNGGGUUNUNAAGAACUUUUUGCUUNNNNNAAAAGUUUCCUCCUAAUACGAGGUACUGCUGACGGUAUCUGCCGAUUAAUCACCGGCUAACUACGUUCCAGCAGCCGCGGUAAUACGUAGGGUGCAAGCGUUAAUCGGAAUUACUGGGCGUAAAACGUGUGUAGGCAGUUCGGAAAGUAAGAUGUGGAAUCCCAGGGCUCAACCUUGGAACUGAAUUUUAAACUGCCGAGCUAGAGUAUGUCAGAGGGGGGUAGAAUUCCACGUGUAGCAGUGAAAUGCGUAGAUAUGUGGAGGAAUACCGAUGGCGAAGGCAGCCCCCUGGGAUAAUACUGACGCUCAGACACGAAAGCGUGGGGAGCAAACA